Molecule: long non-coding RNA, 1120 nt
Organism: Ostrea edulis (European flat oyster)
Lineage: Eukaryota; Metazoa; Mollusca; Bivalvia; Ostreida; Ostreidae
Exons: 2
Source: RefSeq, a predicted model, not a curated record
CUACAGGAACAAUCCAUCAGGUUCCUUAAAAUUAUUCUAUCAGGAUUAUUAUGGACUUCGAACCUCAGUUGCAAAAAUGUGGCGGCAUGCUCGCAGUCUCAUGUUUAUUUCGAAAUAAUGUAUUUUAAAACAUGUAAAGUGUGAGAUCCUGUUCCCAAAGUGUAAUAGAAAAUAAUCCGUACAAGGUUGUAAAGAAGUUGAUUCAGUUUUGCUGAUUUAGUGUUUUGUAUUUUUCGUUUGUUUUGAUUUUGAUGUGAAUGAGUUAUCGUAAGAGUGAAUCGGGUGUGAGUUAUUUUUAGUUGCUAGUAUAAAAGAGACCGGUUUGGCUGGUUAUAAGUUAGAUAGGGCAUGGUAACGACAUCAGCCGGGUGCCACGUUGACAGGUCCUAGAAGUUCAAGGGAUUGUUAUUUUCCUGUCAGAUUUCUAUGUAGGACAUUUGGAGAAAUAUAACUGCUGAAAUAGGAGUUUGUUUGGGGGGGCACAUCUUUUGUAUUCUGAUAGUUCUGCGUAGAUGGGUGCUUAACAAAACCAGUUUCAACCCGAAGUCAGACAGAGUUGCGGGAUUCAGAUAUACGCAGAUACAUGCGGAUAUUGUGUUACAAUAUGGAAGGGCGUGGUGUAGCUCCAUAGAGGAUAACCCGAUACUUGGGAGGCAUCGGAACCCUGGUGUAUUGUCAAGGGUUGACGAUGGCUCGUGCAAGGCUUGUAUGGUGGUGGAUAUUUUUCCGUUCUGGGCGUGCUUAUCUCAAGUUCGCGGGAAACCGGAACAGUGUCUUCAGAGUGCAUAUUAGUUACAUUAUAAAGUUAAAGUAACUCGAAAUUUAGAAACAAAACCAAAGAAUAUUAUAUUACAGAAAAGGAGAAUUGAAUAUUUGGAACUUUUUUCUAAAUUAUACUACUUUUGAGUAUUGUUUUAACUUGACAAGUUAAUACCUGUACAUUUGCUUUACAUCUGAUACGUACUAUCGGACUUUCAAAAAAACUGUUUACAACGUAUCAGAUAUCUAUAUUGUCAAUUGCUUAUUCAUGUAAAUUGGUGUUCAGAGUGAAAGGAGUGAGUGUGCAUUCUUUUUAUAUUUAUUUAUUUAAUUAAUAAAUUUGUUAUUGUUUAUUCUACAA